This is a long non-coding RNA of Numida meleagris (helmeted guineafowl), 4059 nucleotides long. RefSeq lists it as uncharacterized. The transcript is spliced from 3 exons. The record is from RefSeq and is a predicted model, not a curated record. NCBI's taxonomy places the organism in Eukaryota, Metazoa, Chordata, Aves, Galliformes, Numididae.
CUUCAGGCGAAAUUCAGCCGAGCCUAAUCCUGCAGAUGAGCAGCAGUGACUGAUGGCCAGGAGUACCCUGACCAUAGUGAUGGGCUGGAAUCCCCUCAUUUAAAAAGGAAUUUCCAGACAAGGGUCCCAUUACCCCACAUAAUGUGAGGAUGAAGCUGGACAGGUGCUACCUGCCUGCAUCCCACCCCAGCGCACGAGGUCUGGUCAUGCACAGCCCCUCAGCAGGAAGCUGUUUGUAUAUUUGCACUGGGGGAAAAGGAGAAAGAGCAGGAGGGAUUGGCUCCCUCUGCAUGCACCAAGUUGUCCACAAGUGCUGCGUGCUGUCGGCAACUUCUCCUUGGACCAUUAAGAGCGAGGGCUGGGUUCCUCAGCACAGCAGUGGCCAUGCAGGUGCAUGAGCACAGCAGGAGAGUGCCAGUUGCAUUGCUGCCAAAAGCUGUGUGUCCAGAACUGCAUCCCAGUGGCCCCUUGGAUUUCAUUCCUCUGGAUGCUUUCUGGAAGAACGGGGACAACUGUGAAGUGCCCAGGCCCCCAGCAACAGGGAUGCAUCAGUAAAUGCGAGUAACUCAAGGAAGUAAACGGUUGGACCAGGCUGUCUUCAAAACUGUCCUGACUGUCUUGUGAGUUCCCUCACUUCUAAGAACUGGCAUCAGUGAAGUAUAUGGAAUGGGGCAGAUUUUAAAUUCCCCACCUGGAAAGCAAAUACCAAAGUCACAAGCUGCUGUCGCCUUUGGUACCUGCAGGGACUGGCCCCAUCAAACACAGUUAGCACAUGCCAGGGAGAGAAGGACCUUUUCUUCAGUGUUUACUGCAUCUUCUGUCCAGCAUCCUUGCACAGCACUGAGCAGGGACAGUGAUGUGUCAGCUCCAGGGGUGACACUGCCAGGAUGCAGCAUGGUGCCUGGGCACUAAUCAUUAUUUUUAACACUACAUGCAUGCCAGGGUAUUUUAGUGUGUAAGGAUGUGCAGUGCCAAGUUGGGUCAGAGCUUGAAGUUAGAUUAUUUUUCCAUAAAGUGAGAGCUUUGCAAAUUUCAGGCUUGGAUAAAUAAUUACUGCCCUUUUUUUAAGGAUUUUAUUUACAAGAGCAUCAAAAUGAAAGUGACAGCAGUGAUAGCAAGUAAAUUACCACUGCCUAAUUGGGCCCAAAGAUAAUUUAGGGCCUGAAAUGUCCCUUCGUGUAGACUGACAGAGAAAAGAAAAGCAUACCAGACACAUGCACAUUGGCUUUACCAGUUCUUAAAUUUCUUAUUUUUCUGCUAAUCACUGAAGUGUGAAAAACAUGCUAUGUUCUUCCCUGCUGCUUUUUCUGUAACCAGAUACUUGUAGGACUUGCAGUUGGAGAUGUUUAUUCAUCAUUAGACACAGAGACAAAGUUAUCAGGUACUAUUUGCUGACAUUGUCGAGUUAUAGAAUCAUUAAGGUUGGAAAAGACCACUAGGAUCAUCUAGUUCAGCCAUCAACCCAUUCCCACCAUGCCCACUAACCAUGUCCCUCAGUGCCACAUCCACAUGGUUUUUGAGUCUCAGAAGCUCUGCUGCUCUGAACAUCUCAGGCAGUCCUGCUCAGUGAUGGCUGGAUUCAGUGCUAAAAAUGCCAGUAUUGGCUGCUGCGCUCAUGAAUAGACCUCAUUCCUUGACAGUGAGAGCCCAAAAUGUCACAGAGGCACUUGUACAUCCUUGCAGAACUGUCCCUCAAAAGUGAGCAGCAGAGGCAAAGCCCUUAUCACCAUGUCACUGGUUAUAGAACAACAACAACAAAAAAGCCUUUAAUUAUUGCACUGGAAACAAAAUUACUUACAUGUGGUAGGUGCAAAGGGAUUCACCAGCAAACUAUUUGAUGUAGGCUCCUAACUGAAUAGAAAUGUUGAUGGCUUCAAGGUUUUAUGCCACAGCAGUUUAGAUCACCAGGACUGAAUAACUAUUUGAGAAUGAACUUUUAAGUUAAAGGUUACUGUUCUGCAUGUCCUAAGGGAUUUUGUUCAAACAUAAGCUCGUUUGUUUGUUGGCUUGUUUUUUAAAGAUAUAAAUGGAGAUAAUUUCUCAAAUAAUUUCAUAGUUUUAUAACGUAAGGUGCACAUAACAAAUCCACAGAUAGAAGAAUAUAGCCCCAACCUCUACAUAGCAUUGGAAUAUGACUCUAAAAAAACACAAGAACAUUGAGGGAGCAUGCCUUAUCCCACAGGAUUCAAGACAAAGAAAGGGCAUGCCAGGCUGUAAAGUUUAAAAAAGCUCUGUGACUGAAUUACAUGAAAAAGGGCUCAAUCACAGAAGAAAAUACAGCUAGGUUAAUGGGGAAGAUGUCACUUUUACAGGUGUAGAGACUUGCUAGAUCCGAUUUAUCAUCAGAAGCCAAACUUGUGAAAUUUACCUUGCUCUCUAGCAAAAAAAUAAAUAGAAAGCAUCAUUCUAAAAAGAAUGCUUUAGAAAAACGAAUAAUCCUCUUUUCAUGGAAUUUCAUUACAGAAAGGGGCAAUUCUGCACACAUUUUAUCUACUUCUAUGAAUAAAUGUGUUAAGCUUGAGAAGCUGGAGUCCAUUAUAUGGUUCUGCAGUCAGAUAGCAUGAGUCCCUGUUGCUUAUGCAGCUAUUAGAUGUUUUAUUAUGCAGCAGAAAUGCAGCAGAAAUGCAAUGAGACCUCUCAGAAGGUCUGCAAAUCCAGCAUGAAAGCAAAAUUUUAAUCUUUUUUUAGCCUUGCUUUUGUUACUGAUUUCCAGUGUUUUAAAAAAAAAGGGAAGAGGAGAGCCAAAAGCAAGGCGUGAUAGAAAGCUCACUGUUUCAAGCAUGAAUUCAACCCUGAAAUCCUGCUGAAACUGGUGAGUUUAGAGCGCAGCUCGAAUGUAGGAAGUUUCCCGAAUCCACAGAAUCGGGCUGUGGGGUGAACAGAGGGCAGAGCUGAUGGAGAAGCAAGAUAAUACAUGUCCGUACCUGCUGGAACCUGUGAUCUGGAAUGACAACUGCAAUACUUUGAGUGCUUUUUCCCACCACUUUUGCAGGGUACAGGGACUCCUGGAUCUGUUUAAAGAGAAAUCCGUGACCUGUACCUGACCUAUCUUCAGAUCACCAUCAGCCUGCACAGAGAGUGAGAGACUUUGCUGCUGCAGUGCAAAUUGUUAAAUAUUACUGUUUUCUCUGGGGAAGAAGCAUAGGCAUGCUGUGGUUUUUCCACUGACCACCAGAGGACAAAAAUGAGAAUUUCAUCUUUCUGCCCCAGGGAUGGGGCAUGGCUGCGUCCAUUACCUCUCUGGGAAACCUGCUGCAGUGCUUCAUUAUCCAUAAGGAUAAUAAUUGUAAAAUCUUUUCUCUUACAUCCAAUCUCAAUUUCCCAUUUUGGUUUGAAACCAUUUCCCCUUGUCCUAUCACAACAGACACUGCUAAAGAUUCUGUCCUCCAUGUUACACAUCUGUCCACAGUCCACUUGAGUAAAAUUUAAGCCUGGCAAUGAGAAAUUGGUAAAAUCCUCAAGAAAAGAGCUCUGGAAGUACAGGUGAAGAACAGUCUCCUGAGCAGUGAUCACUGACCUACCGCUGGACCUCAGAAAUCUCUGUGAGCUUCAGCAGAGGUUAGAUGCUCGAUGCAGACGUGCCUUUCUAUAACAGAAUAGAAGACAACAUGGUUUACUAGAUACUAAAUGUAUCUCACUCUGUACUACCUAUUAACAUAGAGUCACUUCUAAUGGUUCCUACAGAUUCUUUUAACAGUUGUGUUGGACUGUUCCAUAAGGACUCCAGUAACUGUUUAAGGACAGGAAAAAGUAAAGGAAUUUAAUGCAGUGGAUAUAGGCUGCAAUCUUUUUUCCUGUUUCUUACAGUACAGUAUUUUUAAAUUCACAGAAUCACAGAAUCUCCUGAGCUGGAAGGGAUCCGCAAGGAUCAUGGAGCCCAGCUCCUUGCUCCACACAGCACCACCCCAAAUCCAAACCCUAUGUCUGAGAGCGGUGUCCAGACACAGCUUGAACUCCAGCACUCAGGGCUGUGCCCACUGCCCUGGGCAGCCCAUUCCAUGCCCUCUGGUGCGGAAUCUGUCUCUAACCCCCAGCUGCCCCUCCCCUGACACAGCUCCA